Molecule: ribosomal RNA, 305 nt
Filed under: uncultured bacterium
Lineage: Bacteria
Description: bacterial SSU rRNA
Rfam family: Bacterial small subunit ribosomal RNA
Source: RNAcentral
UGUGCCUACGGGGGGCAGCAGUGGGGAAUAUUGCGCAAUGGGGGAAACCCUGACGCAGCAACGCCGCGUGCGGGAUGAAGGCUUUCGGGUUGUAAACCGCUUUCAGCAGGGAAGAUAGUGACGGUACCUGCAGAAGAAGCCCCGGCUAAAUACGUGCCAGCAGCCGCGGUAAUACGUAUGGGGCAAGCGUUAUCCGGAUUCACUGGGCGUAAAGGGAGCGCAGGCGGCAUGGCAAGUCUGAUGUGAAAACCCGGGGCCCAACCCCGGGAGUGCAUUGGAAACUGCCAGGCUGGAGUGUCGGAGGG